Molecule: long non-coding RNA, 1890 nt
Organism: Orcinus orca (killer whale)
Lineage: Eukaryota; Metazoa; Chordata; Mammalia; Artiodactyla; Delphinidae
Exons: 2
Source: RefSeq, a predicted model, not a curated record
UCUGGAGAGGGGAGAGGCACUAAGAAGUGUGCAGAGAGGUGCUCUGGAGAGGGGAGAGAGCCACUCUAGUGUGCACAGUUCUCUGGAGAGGGGAGAGAGCCACUGAGUAGUGUUCAAAGAUAUGCGCUGGAGAGGGGAGAGAGCCACUCAGAAGUGUGCAGAGAGAGGCUCUGGAGAGGGGAGAUAGCCUCUCCGAGGUCUGCAGGGAGAUCCUCUGGAGAGGGGAGAGCCACGAACACGUGUACAGAGAGAUGCUCUGGAGAGGGGAGAGCCACUCAGAAGUGUCCGGAGAGAUGCUCUGGAGAGGGGAGAGAGCCACUCCAAAGUGUGCGCAGAGGUUCUCUGGAGAGUGGAGAGACCCACUGAGUAGUGUGCAAAGACGUGCUAUGGAGAGAGGACAGCCACUCAGAAGUGUGCAGAGUGAUGCUCUGGAGAGGGGAGAGAGCCACUCAGAAGUGUGCAGAGAGAUGCUGUGGAGAGGGGAGAGCCACUCAGAAGUGUGCAGAGAGGUGCUCUGGAGAGGGGAGAGAGCCCCUCAGAAUUGUCCGCAGAGAUGCUCUGGAAAGGGGAGAGAGCCACUCAAAAGUGAGGAGAGAGGUGCUCUGGAGAGGGAGAGAGCCACUCAAAAGUGAGGAGAGAGGUGCUCUGGAGAGGGAGAGAGCCCCUCAGAAGUGUCUGGAGAGAUGAUCUGGAAAGGGGAGAGAGCCACUCAGAAGUGUGGAGAGAGGUGCUCUGGAGAGGGAGAGAGCCCCUCAGAAGUGUCCAGAGAGAUGAUCUGGAAAGGGGAGAGAGCCACUCAGAAGUGUGCAGAGAGAUGCGCUGGAGAGGGGACAGCCGCUCAGAAGUGUGCAGAGAAAUGCUCUUAAGAGGGGAGAGCCACUCGGAAGUGUGUAGAGAGAUGCUGUGCAGAGGGGAGAGGCACUAGGAAGUGUGCAGAGAGAUUCUCUGGAGAAGGGAGAGAGCUACUCAGAAGUGUGCGGACAGGUGCUCUGGAGAGGGGAGAGGUACUCAGAAGUGUGCAGAGAGUUGCCCUUGAGAGAGGAGAGCCACUCAGAAGUGUGCAGAGAGAUGCUCUGGAAAGGGGAGACAGCCACUCAGAGGUGUGCAGAGAGACUCUCUGGAGAGGCGAGAGAGCCACUGAGUAGUGUGCAAAGAUGAGCUCUGGAGAAGGGACAGCCACUCAGAAGUGUGCAGAGAGAUGCUCUGGAAGGAGGAGAGGGCCACUGAGAAGUGUGCAGAGAGGUGGUCUGGAGGGGUGACAGAGCCACUGAGCAGUGUGCAAAGUCCUGCUCUGGAGAGGUGACAGCCACUCAGAAGUGUGCACAGAGAUGCUCUGGAGACGGGCGAGCCACUUGACCUGUGCAGAGCGAUGAUCUGGAGAGGGGAGAGCCACUCAGAGGUGUGCAGAGAGAUGCUCUGGAGAGGGGAGAGAGCCACUCAGAAGUGAACAGAGACAUGCUGUUGAGAGGGGAGUGCCCCUCAGAAGUGUGCAGAGAGAUGCUCUGGAGAGGGGUGAGCCACUCAGAAUUGUGCAGAGCGGGCUUACCUGGUGGCACAGUGGUUGAGAGUCUGCCUGCUGAUGUAGGGGACACGGGUUCGUGCCCCGGUCUGGGAAGAUUCCACAUGCCGCGGAGCGACUGGGCCCGUGAGCCAUGGCCGCUGAGCCUGUGCGUCCUGAGUCUGUGCUCCACAACGGGAGAGGCCUCAAUAGUGAGAGGCCCGCGUACCACAAAAAAACAAAACAACAAAAAACAAAAUGAAAACAACUGCAAAAAAAAUGAAGUGUGGACAGAGAUGCUCUGGAGAGGGGAGAGAGCCACUCAGAGGUGCAGAGAGAUGCUCUGGAGAGGGGAGAGAGCCACUCAGAAGUGUGCAGAGAGGUGCUCGGGA